Molecule: long non-coding RNA, 1074 nt
Filed under: Haliotis rubra (blacklip abalone)
Lineage: Eukaryota; Metazoa; Mollusca; Gastropoda; Lepetellida; Haliotidae
Description: uncharacterized LOC124257842, transcript variant X2
Source: RNAcentral
CUGUAGGAGUAUGUAAUUAUGUAUAUAUAAGCAAGUAUAUUUUAAUUUGUAUUUUAAUCACUAAGUCUAGCCCUAGCUUAACCACUCAAUCUAACCUGCUUCACUUUCACAAUAGCACUCUCACCCUUGCGCUUACGUUGUCUAUUGUAUCUAUUGUCUUGCCCCAGCCCCAGGCCCCUUAGUUUCAAUAGCAGGGAGUUUUGUGGGUCAGCUAUCAUUUUCCCUUCAGUCUGUCUGGUCACUGGUCACAGCUAGCAACAGCUUAUAACAGGUUAGUUUAUAUAUGGAUUGUGUAUUUUAUGUUUUCAUGUUUAGUGUGUAUGUAUUAUUUCUUAACUUCCUUUAAAGCAUGUAUCAUGUUAUAUGUGGUAAAUAUUAAUCAAAUUAACUAUCUGUUACAUGCGCCAAACUUUGCAUGAAUGAAUGAAUGUAUGUAUGAGGGGAAGGCUUAUUAGAACAGAUAUUUUAUGUACAGUAGAUUGAUAAUGUACAGAAGUAGAAUGUUAUAUAUUAUUGGAUUUGUAUAUGUUUAUGUUCAGGUGUGGCAAACAUAGUUCCAGACGUUUGUGGCGGUAACGGGCACAGUGCCAUACACUCGGUGAGGGUUCCUUUGUAUUAUAUUGUAAACAAUCAUGUUAUGCACUUGUAUGAUGCCACAUGUGUAUCUUCAAAUAUAAACAUUAUAUACAAUUGUAGAACUUAUUGCUAAGCCUCACAUGUAUUGUAGCGCAUUUUGAUGCAAUGUAUUUAUUCCUUUAUAGGGCCUUCUUCAGUUAUUGCCAAUAAACUGACAUCUACGAAAAAUAUUCGCCUUUGUGGUAUCUACAAAACCACUCCGGUUACAUUGGCGUCGUCGGCAGGAUGUAGAUGUUCAGAAGGAACAGUGAUGCAACCAGUGACAAGGGACAAUGAUGGACAUCAACUUUCCAUAGACGGAAGGGAACCGUAAUGACCAAGUAAUGUAACACUACGGUGUGGCAAACAUAGUUCCAGACGUUUGUGGCGGUAACGGGCACAGUGCCAUACACUCGGGCCUUCUUCAGUUAUUGCCAAUAAACUGACAUCUACGAAAAA